GGGUGAUGCCUGGGCGCAGUGGUUUAUCGAUCUCUUCCCUGCCUUGUGCUGCUCCGAUCGAUGCCCGUGCUGAUUCUUGAUAAUAUACAACGCAGGAAUCGAUCGAUAAGCCUCUGCAUCCAGAUCUCAC
This 130-nucleotide microRNA precursor is filed under the name Oryza sativa Japonica Group (Japanese rice). Its description in RNAcentral is "osa-MIR162b". It matches the Rfam family "MIR162_2 microRNA precursor family". The record is from RNAcentral. Lineage: Eukaryota; Viridiplantae; Streptophyta; Magnoliopsida; Poales; Poaceae.